AAAGAUGGCCAGACCAGAGUGAAUGCACUUGAUCUUGUCUGAUGUCAGAAGCUAAGCAGUCCUGGACCUGGAUAGCACUUGGAUCAGAGACCACCUGGGAAUCCCAGGUGCUAUAGACA
This is a ribosomal RNA of Alligator mississippiensis (American alligator), 119 nucleotides long. The record is from Rfam. Lineage: Eukaryota; Metazoa; Chordata; Crocodylia; Alligatoridae.